UCAUUUUCAAGCCAAAAAAAAAAAACACUUCAAGAAUCAUUCUACACUAAAUUUACCGAUCACACAUUUACUUCGGCACGCUCUGGUUGAUUUGAAUAGAGUAUUUUGAUAAAAUUCAUGCCUAUAAAUUAAAGAAGCUGUUCAUUCAUUAAUCACCGGUACCGUUGUAAUUGAUCAAAUACAAACUCCUUUCUGACAACUUCUACAGGUUUUGCUAAUUGAGCAAAUGGAUUCUGCAGUUAAUGUGCCUAGAUGGACUCCAAGUCCAAGCCCCAGUCGAUCACUUCUAAAAGAGCCUGAAACAAAAGCUAACGUUGUACCGUCGAAAAGAGAAGCAGGUGUAGAUGACUUGGAGUUGCCAAGCAUAAUUUCUGAGGAAGAUGGCAAGCGUACAACGGUAGACAACACGUUCCCAUUUAGCCCUGGCACCACAACAGGUCCUGAUCCACCUCCUUAUUCAGGCACCUAUGAAGCAUUAUCUAUGAUGACAGAGAUGGAGCCACUCGGGACGUUACUAAAGGGAGGCAAGAACUAUGAUGGUGGGGGCUUGACAUCAAAGGGAAACAGCAAUGGCCUUCUCAUGACAUGGAUUGAUCUGUGGGUUACAGUGCCUGAUGGGAAAAACGGGGGCCAACCAAUCCUGCACGGUCUAACCGGUUAUGCUCAGCCAGGGGAGGUUUUGGCUAUUAUGGGUCCUUCGGGAAGCGGCAAGACAACUCUUCUAGAUGCUCUGGCAGGAAGAUUAAGUUCAAACACACAGCAAACUGGAGAGAUCCUAAUCAAUGGUCGAAAGGAGACACUUGCAUUUGGAACUUCGGCCUACGUUACUCAAGAUGAUACUCUAAUGACAACAUUAACCGUGAGGGAAGCUGUCUACUACUCAGCACAGCUCCAACUUCCAGAUUUCAUGUCAACAUCUGAGAAGAAGGAAAGAGCUGAGAUAACAAUAAGAGAGAUGGGCUUACAAGGCUCUGCCGACACCAGAAUAGGAGGGUGGGGCAUGAAGGGCAUUAGCGGAGGACAGAAGAGGAGAGUUAGUAUUUGCAUUGAAAUCUUGACCCAGCCCAAGCUGCUCUUCCUUGAUGAGCCUACUAGUGGACUGGAUAGUGCAGCAUCUUACCAUGUCAUGAACCAUAUCGUUAAGCUUGCUCGCCAAGAAGGAAGGACAAUUGUUGCAUCAAUUCAUCAGCCAAGUAGUGAGGUUUUUGAGCUCUUCCACAACCUCUGCCUUCUUUCUUCUGGAAGAACCGUCUAUUUUGGUCCUGUUUCAAUGGCAGAACAGUUCUUUUCUUCAAAUGGCUUUCCAUGCGCUCCUUUGAGAAACCCAUCAGAUCACUACCUUAGAACCAUAAACGCGGAUUUUGAUAUGGACAUUGAACAAGGGAAUGGUGGGAGCACAGAGGAAGCCAUCAAUGUUCUUGUCAAGUCCUACAAAUCAUCAGAGAUUUUCCUGCAAGUUCGCCAGCGAGUAGCUUCCAUAUGCGAGCAGAAAGGAGGAAUUCUAGAGAAGAAAGGAAGCCAGGCAAGCUUCAUCACUCAGUGCCUUGUUCUUACAAGGAGAUCUUUCGUCAACAUGUACCGCGAUCUAGGCUAUUACUGGCUUCGCCUUGCAAUCUACAUAGCAUUGUGCCUAUGUGUAGGGACAAUCUUCUAUGAUAUUGGCUUAACUUUUGGGUCAAUACAGGCUAGAGGCUCAAUGCUCAUGUUUGUUGCUGCGUUCUUGACUUUCAUGGCAAUUGGUGGAUUCCCCUCUUUCGUAGAGGACAUGAAGAUUUUCGGACGAGAAAGAUUAAAUGGGCACUAUGGUGUUGGUGCGUUUGUUGUUGGAAACACAUUGUCUUCCAUUCCUUACCUGCUCAUGAUAUCUAUAAUCCCUGGAGCAAUGGCCUAUUACCUAGUUGGCCUUCAAAAGAGCUUGGAACACUUUGUCUGCUUUGCACUGCUACUCUUCGUGUGCAUGAUGCUGGUCGAAAGUUUAAUGAUGAUCGUUGCAAGUAUCGUGCCAGAUUUCUUGAUGGGUAUCAUAACAGGUGCAGGAAUUCAAGGUGUUAUGAUGCUAAACGGAGGAUUUUUUCGGUUACCAGAUGAUCUUCCUAAGCCUUUCUGGAGAUAUCCGAUGUACUACAUUGCAUUCCACAAGUAUGCAAACCAAGGGUUCUACAAGAAUGAAUUCCAAGGAUUGACAUUCCCUAAUAAUCUAGCAGGAGGGCCGCCUACCAUUACUGGCGAAGAAAUUCUGAAAAACACAUGGCAAGUAGAGAUGGGUUAUUCUAAGUGGAUUGAUAUCGCUAUCCUCUUAGGAAUGGUGAUUCUUUACCGUCUCAUGUUUUUGGGAAUCAUAAAACUUGUUGAAAAGGUUAAACCAAUCAUCAGAGCUGCUUUUGCUGUCGCUCCAAGACAAUCAAAACAUGUCUAGAGAAUCCCUCUUCCUCACUUUCCGAUGAAGCUCGUGCUUAAUAUGUCUUUUUACUUCAUAGUUUAUAGUAUCUUCUUUAAUUUUAUCUUCUCACCAUGUUAAACUGUGUAGCUGGUCAUUGCAGAUAAUAGUUUAUGCAAAUAUUGAUUGUUAAAUAUUAGUUUUAAUUAGCGGUUGCAAGAAGCUUUGUUUGUUGUGCUUGGAAAAAACCUGUAACCUGUUAGUUCUUGAUC
Molecule: RNA transcript, 2649 nt
Organism: Populus euphratica (Euphrates poplar)
Lineage: Eukaryota; Viridiplantae; Streptophyta; Magnoliopsida; Malpighiales; Salicaceae
Gene name: ABC transporter G family member 11-like
Exons: 9
Source: RefSeq, a predicted model, not a curated record